Diospyros lotus (date-plum) is the source of this 635-nucleotide long non-coding RNA. RefSeq lists it as uncharacterized. The record is from RefSeq and is a predicted model, not a curated record. Lineage: Eukaryota; Viridiplantae; Streptophyta; Magnoliopsida; Ericales; Ebenaceae. The transcript is spliced from 2 exons.
CAAACGGACCGCCAAACAGGGCCUAAGAAUGGACUUCGGAGCAACCCUUCGAGACCCCAUCUCCCAGUCCUAUUGAUUUACCCGUCCUCCUCCCGCUGCCUUUCCAGCGACGGCGCCUGACCGGAACAAUCGAUCCGUCGGAGCUCUUACUUAUCGAAUCGCCAUUGACGCUUCUAGCUUCCUCGGCCGUCGUCAUCUGCAACCUCUUCCAGUAUACAAAUGAGAACAAAGCAAACAAACGAGGAAUACAACCAGAGUUUAGGAGACAUUGAACAUGAAUAUGAUAUUGUCAGGGAGGGAGGACAACUAAACCCAACUGCUCAUCCAUGCUGCAAGCCAGAGACAAUGAAAUUUGCAGGUCUUCUCACUGCCAUGGAAAUCUUAACUAGUUAGCCAGAGUUGUUUGUAUUUUUUCUGUGUUCAUGCUCUUCUUUAGGGGAGAGAGAGAGAGAGAAGUGGGAUUGAUUUGUUUUGGGGUGUAUUUGAUAGGAAACUUCCAAAUAGAGAUGGAGAGUGUGAUUGAAACUGAAUGUUCCAUGUGUCCAGUUUCUUUGCUUUCCCAUAUAUCUUGGAAGUUUCCCUUGUAGUUGAUUUUGAGCAAAGCUAACUAACUCUAAUCUGUUUCCUUUGUUGUA